This 497-nucleotide ribosomal RNA is filed under the name uncultured bacterium. RNAcentral's name for it is "partial 16S ribosomal RNA". It matches the Rfam family "Bacterial small subunit ribosomal RNA", at positions 28 to 507 of the family's 1533-position model. The record is from RNAcentral.
GACGAACGCUGGCGGCGUGCCUAAUACAUGCAAGUUGAGCGAUGAAGAUUGGUGCUUGCACCAAUUUGAAGAGCAGCGAACGGGUGAGUAACGCGUGGGGAAUCUGCCUUUGAGCGGGGGACAACAUUUGGAAACGAAUGAUAAUACCGCAUAACAACUUUAAACAUAAGUUUUAAGUUUGAAAGAUGCAAUUGCAUCACUCAAAGAUGAUCCCGCGUUGUAUUAGCUAGUUGGUGAGGUAAAGGCUCACCAAGGCGAUGAUACAUAGCCGACCUGAGAGGGUGAUCGGCCACAUUGGGACUGAGACACGGCCCAAACUCCUACGGGAGGCAGCAGUAGGGAAUCUUCGGCAAUGGACGAAAGUCUGACCGAGCAACGCCGCGUGAGUGAAGAAGGUUUUCGGAUCGUAAAACUCUGUUGGUAGAGAAGAACGUUGGUGAGAGUGGAAAGCUCAUCAAGUGACGGUAACUACCCAGAAAGGGACGGCUAACUACGUG